GACGAACGCUGGCGGCGUGCCUAAUACAUGCAAGUAGAACGCUGAAGAGAAGAGCUUGCUCUUCUUGGAUGAGUUGCGAACGGGUGAGUAACGCGUAGGUAACCUGCCUGGUAGCGGGGGAUAACUAUUGGAAACGAUAGCUAAUACCGCAUGAUAUUAAUUGUCGCAUGAUAAUUAAUUGAAAGAUGCAAUUGCAUCACUACCAGAUGGACCUGCGUUGUAUUAGCUAGUUGGUGAGGUAACGGCUCACCAAGGCGACGAUACAUAGCCGACCUGAGAGGGUGAUCGGCCACACUGGGACUGAGACACGGCCCAGACUCCUACGGGAGGCAGCAGUAGGGAAUCUUCGGCAAUGGGGGGAACCCUGACCGAGCAACGCCGCGUGAGUGAAGAAGGUUUUCGGAUCGUAAAGCUCUGUUGUAAGAGAAGAACGGGUGUGAGAGUGGAAAGUUCACA
This 456-nucleotide ribosomal RNA is filed under the name Streptococcus sanguinis. RNAcentral's name for it is "bacterial SSU rRNA". It matches the Rfam family "Bacterial small subunit ribosomal RNA", at positions 28 to 468 of the family's 1533-position model. Lineage: Bacteria; Bacillati; Bacillota; Bacilli; Lactobacillales; Streptococcaceae. The record is from RNAcentral.